Long non-coding RNA from Macrobrachium nipponense, 2343 nucleotides. RefSeq lists it as uncharacterized. NCBI's taxonomy places the organism in Eukaryota, Metazoa, Arthropoda, Malacostraca, Decapoda, Palaemonidae. The transcript is spliced from 3 exons. The record is from RefSeq and is a predicted model, not a curated record.
UGAUUAAAGCGGUUAGAAUACCGUUAAUGACCUUAAUAUAAUCCGACGGUCAAACUGUAGCUAAAGGCUAACUGGUCGCGAAGCUACGUAGCCUAACCGACCCCAGAGUAAGGCUCAGUUUAGUUAAAUAGCCUUAGAUACCAGGAUUAUCUCUGAUUGGACCCCAAUACUCUCAAAUGGAAGAUUGGUGGGGUACCUACCGCUGGGCCGUGGUGAGGUUAGGGAGUCGAUGUGGAUGGGGUAGGUUCAAGUAGACUAGGUCAGACGACUUAGCCCCACCUUUUGGGGGUUCCAAGGGUAAGAAGGGGAUAGCACUCCCUCAUUGGCCAGGUAAAGACAUGUCGUCAUAGGUUAGGUUAGAGGUAAAACUGGUUCGGUACUUAUCGGCUUACGUGCAAGAUGGGCGCCAUGUCUACUACCAGCAAUAUUUGGUAGACAUUGUAAAAACAAGCGAGAAAGGUGUAAACAACAUCACAUUAAUGUUGGUAAAUAUUCGGUCGGUGACUGGCCGGUUUUAACCUUCGUUCAUAUUGGAGGAGUCACGACUUGGGCUAAUUUUAGGGUUCUAAGUUUUAGGCUUUUAUAGGGGUGAGAUUAGGUAACUGCAUGGCAUCCUAGGUUGGGUUAAGGUAGGACUGGCUAGGCCAUACUCCAUCUGGAAUGCCUGCUACUACAGUUUAGGGGUAACCUUGGCCAUACUGAGUGAGAUUAUAUAAGUGCAAGCUUGGUUGCCGUCGAUUCAUUCCCGCGAAUUGCUGACCAAGAUAUUUACAGUAAACCCCCGUAUUCGCGGGGGAUGCUUCCGAGAGAGAGAGCGUGACAGAUUUAUGCUAAUGGAUGUAUUUGGUUUUAAGGUAUCCAGAUGGCAAGAGAGAGAAAGUGGUCCUGGAGAGUCACCCACAAUGCAACGGAUGAGCAUGGCUGUCUUAAUUCAUGAUGGACGAAACUGACAAACUAAGGAGAUGUAUGUGCCACCAUGGAAAGAUCCUAGCAGGUGUGUCUACGGGCGUUACGAACAACUGAUGACGUCACAUCCACGGCAACGAAGCUUCAAGUUUAGAAUGUCUUAUGACAGUACCAUCGUGUGGCCACUUAACUCCAUAUUGGAAAUUGUGUGCAGAGUGCAAUUCCACAAAUAUCUAUGAACAAAGAACUGGAGUUCAUACUUAUAUUCAACAAGUGGAAUGCAGUGGUUAAUCACUUGUGUCAACAGUUGCCUAUGGCCAGAUGAAAUGGCCCCACCAAACAAAUCUUUGGAAGGGUCAUACUUUGACUUGGAGAGAUUGCAAACAUUAAUUCUUUUGACUAUUGGAACUAUGUCAGUGUUAAGUUGACAGUAGUCAUGUAUAAGUGUUAGUUUAUCAAGGUAUACCAGUGCCUAUCUACCCAAAGUCGAGUCUAGUUCAGCUUUGCGGCUUGUAAUUAAGUAGGAACUAUAGGAAUCUUAAGAGGAGUCUAUAUCAUAUGAGGUCGUUCACUGGGAUUCAGGGGAGACUGGUUUUAUUACUGAAACUUGCUAUUGGUUCAAAGUAUCAGGAUAUAUUGUCCACUUUUAUUUAUACUCUGUUGAAUGUUGUUAUCAGGUAGCUCAGUAUUAUUCAGGAUGUACAGACUUAUUUUAUACCUAAAGCUCAUAUCAGCUUAAUUUAAAGUAAGAAGAAUUUACCUCAGAGUUUUUGUAAGUUUUUUAGGUAAAAUGCAGCUCAGUAUGUUUCAGGAUCCUUAGUUGUUGUGAUAAGACUUCUUAUCACUUUAAGACCAACUGUCAGUUAGUACAGGACUUUUCAGGAUAUACAUAGCUUAUUUUCCACUGAAAUUUCACUUGUUAGCUAGUAAGUAGGUCAGUGUUUCAGAAUAUACUGUAUAUUGAUAUCUCAUUUCCUUAUCAGUUAAUCAAUAGCUAUGUGGUACCUCAGUAUACUUCACACAGUCUUGGCAACUUAAGGUUCAUGAGUUUAUGUCAAAUACUUCAGUACAUUUCAGGAAAGUUUUAUUUCCAUUUCUUACCAGUUUUAAAUGACUAUAGGUUCAAUCAUUUUUAGGAUACGUACGUAGUUUUUUAGAAUAUAAAUUCCCUAUAUGUUUAAUAUCAGCUAUGAAGUAGUUCUGCGUUUCAGGAUACAUGGAUAAAUAGUUUUGCUUGAUCUGGAAUCUAGUGUCAGUCUGAAUAUCAGUCAAAAGUAGCUCAGUGUAUCUGGAUGCGUAGGUCAUUCAGUUUUCUUGUGGAGUAUUAGUUGUUGUCUGGCAACUUUAAGGAUACCUCCUUAUAUAUAUAUAUAUAUAUAUAUAUAUAUAUAUAUAUAUAUAUAUAUAUAUAUAUAUAUAUAUAUAUAUUAUAUAUAU